This 21-nucleotide non-coding RNA is filed under the name Caenorhabditis elegans. The record is from RNAcentral. Lineage: Eukaryota; Metazoa; Nematoda; Chromadorea; Rhabditida; Rhabditidae.
UAUUGAUAGGUAAAUAAAAAA